This 686-nucleotide long non-coding RNA is filed under the name Parus major (Great Tit). RNAcentral describes it as "lncRNA (ENSPMJG00000000886.1)". The record is from RNAcentral. Lineage: Eukaryota; Metazoa; Chordata; Aves; Passeriformes; Paridae.
CUGGCCCUUUGAUUAAAUGCAAGGACCUGCUGGUGUGUAAAACAGCAGCCUGGCUUUAGCAGACCAAGCUGCUGAUGGAACUGAAAGGAAAAAUAAUAUUUCAACUCCUGGACAAUUAAAAACGAGAGCUGGAGGUAACAGCUUGUCUCUGUGUGGACAGGCCAAGUCUCAGGCCCCUCAGUUCCUGUGGCUCAGUCUAUAGAUUGAUCUAUAUGUGUCUGUUCUUGGAUUUCAGGCCUGGACCUGAGUCAACUGAACUUCUCCAGUGUGUGGUGAUCAUUGAAUUGGACUUGGAGACAUGAAAAAAGCUGCUGGAAAACUUGGAGCUGGCUCUGAAUUGCCAUUCAAGCAAUUUGUGUUAAAAAAGGCUGCCAGAUUCCUCUGCCAGGGACUAAUUGGAGCUGAUGAUUGCCUGCCAUGAGAAUUGCAAAUUCCAUUUCCAAGGUGCUUUUUUUUUUUUUCUUUUCCUUUUUUAAAAAUCAGUUUACAGGUUUUGGCAAGAGGCUGUUAUUGGCUCUAAAAUAACAAGAAUGCUUCCAGCAUAGAUUUAGGCAUAACUGUUAAUAUUCUCCAGAUUCCUUCAUUGAAAAAACCAUGCCAGUUACAAAAAAACAAAAAUCCACCCCUCCCUCCAAUUUGCUUAGCCAAAUUUACUUUCUGUUUGCUUAUUUGCAGCCCAUAAAAGC